RNAcentral lists this ribosomal RNA (253 nucleotides) under uncultured bacterium. RNAcentral's name for it is "partial 16S ribosomal RNA". It matches the Rfam family "Bacterial small subunit ribosomal RNA", at positions 524 to 776 of the family's 1533-position model. The record is from RNAcentral.
UACGAAGGGGGCUAGCGUUGCUCGGAUUGACUGGGCGUAAAGGGCGCGUAGGCGGUUCGUACAGUCAGACGUGAAAUUCCUGGGCUCAACCUGGGGGCUGCGUUUGAUACGUGCGGACUUGAGUGCGGAAGAGGGUCGUGGAAUUCCCAGUGUAGAGGUGAAAUUCGUAGAUAUCGGGAGGAACACCAGUGGCGAAGGCGGCGACCUGGGCCAAUACUGACGCUGAGGUGCGAAAGCGUGGGGAGCAAACAGG